Molecule: ribosomal RNA, 1394 nt
Filed under: uncultured Caldicoprobacter sp.
Lineage: Bacteria; Bacillati; Bacillota; Clostridia; Caldicoprobacterales; Caldicoprobacteraceae
Description: bacterial SSU rRNA
Rfam family: Bacterial small subunit ribosomal RNA
Source: RNAcentral
GUUUGAUCCUGGCUCAGGACGAACGCUGGCGGCGUGCCUAACACAUGCAAGUCGAGCGGAAUAUACCGGUUUAGUUUACUAAGCUGGUAAAUUCAGCGGCGGACGGGUGAGUAACGCGUGAGCAAUCUGCCUUGUACAGGGGGAUAACAGCCGGAAACGGCUGCUAAUACCGCAUAAGGCCACAGUACCGCAUGGUACAGGGGUCAAAGGAGAGAUCCGGUAUAAGAUGAGCUCGCGUUCCAUUAGCUGGUUGGUGAGGUAACGGCCCACCAAGGCAACGAUGGGUAGCCGGCCUGAGAGGGUGAACGGCCACAUUGGGACUGAGACACGGCCCAAACUCCUACGGGAGGCAGCAGUGGGGGAUAUUGCGCAAUGGGGGAAACCCUGACGCAGCAACGCCGCGUGAGUGAAGGAGGCCUUCGGGUCGUAAAACUCUGUGACAGGGGAAGAAGAAAAGUGACGGUACCCUGAGAGGAAGCCCCGGCUAACUACGUGCCAGCAGCCGCGGUAACACGUAGGGGGCAAGCGUUGUCCGGAAAUUACUGGGCGUAAAGGGUGCGUAGGCGGCCGAGCAAGUCCGAUGUGAAAGACCACGGCUAAACUGUGGGGGUGCAUAGGAAACUGUCCGGCUUGAGUGCAGGAGAGGAAAGUGGAAUUCCUAGUGUAGCGGUGAAAUGCGUAGAGAUUAGGAAGAACACCAGUGGCGAAGGCGACUUUCUGGACUGUAACUGACGCUGAGGCACGAAAGCGUGGGGAGCGAACAGGAUUAGAUACCCUGGUAGUCCACGCCGUAAACGAUGGAUACUAGGUGUAGGGGGUAUCGACCCCCCCUGUGCCGGAGUUAACGCAAUAAGUAUCCCGCCUGGGGAGUACGGCCGCAAGGUUGAAACUCAAAGGAAUUGACGGGGGCCCGCACAAGCAGCGGAGCAUGUGGUUUAAUUCGAAGCAACGCGAAGAACCUUACCAGGGCUUGACAUCCCUUCCGACGGGCAUAGAGAUAUGCCGUUUCAGCAAUGGACGGGGGAGACAGGUGGGUGCAUGUUGUCGCAGCUCGUGUCGUGAGAUUGUUGGGUUAAGUCCCGCAACGAGCGGCAACCUUAUCAACAGUUACCAGCAAGUAAAGUUGGGGACUCUGAAGAGACUGCCGGGGAGAACUCGGAGGAAGGUGGGGAUGACGUCAAAUCAUCAUGCCCCUUAUGUCCUGGGCUACACACGUGCUACAAUGGCCUGAAACAAAGGGAAGCGAAGGCGCAAGCCGGAGCGGAACCCAGAAAGCAGGUCUCAGUUCGGGUUGUGGGCUGCAACCCGCCCACAUGAAGUCGGAGUUGCUAGUAAUCGCGAAUCAGCAUGUCGCGGUGAAUGCGUUCCCGGGCCUUGUACACACCGCCCGUCAC